UGGCAGUGUACCCACAUACAUUUAAAAAUAAAAAUCAAAUAACAGUUAAUAGGAAACAGGUUGUAGACCUGUUUAUAAAUAGUUCUUUGGGGUUAUUCCAAUCUUCAUCGUCAGCAAUCCAGUCCACUAGAACAACACCAGCAUGUAUCAGCAGCAGCAGCAGUCCACUAGAACAACACCAGCAUGUAUCAGCAGCAGCAGCAGUCCACUAGAACAACACCAGCAUGUAUCAGCAGCAGCAGCAGUCCACUAGAACAACACCAGCAUGUAUCAGCAGCAGCAGCAGUCCACUAGAACAACACCAGCAUGUAUCAGCAGCAGCAGCAGUCCACUAGAACAACACCAGCAUGUAUCAGCAGCAGCAGUCCAGUCCACCUGGCAAUAACCACUCACAACUCAGCAAUGGCAGUUCAAUUCAGAAGAAACCACAUGGCUCCACCUAUUGGCCUGAGUCUGCAGAGUCAGCAAGUAGCCAAAGGAAUAUCACAAGAAGUUCUUCAGCAAGUUACUCUCUACCAAGUUACAGCAAGUGAACAUUAGCAACGUGAUGCAAGGCAAACCAACACCAGAGCCUCCUCCCACUCUCUGUGGGGUCAUAUUUACAUUAUUUCUAAACAUCACAGGCCCUCUCCUGUGUCUGCUUCAGCAAAACAUCCUUUCACCUGUAUGCACCUGCAAAACAGCAGAUAACAUAACUGAGUUUCCUAAGAACCAGAAAUUUCCACUUCAUAGAUGUCUCAAUGUUGCAGAGGCAUCUCAGGUGACUGUUCAACACCAGCUGUCUCUGUCAUAUCUACAGUUUUGGAAGCUGCUUGCUCUGAACUUCCUGUUUACUCAGUGUGUUCUAGAGGACUGGGCCAUGAAGACAGAAGGGCAGAAAGGACUGGAAGGCCACACUGAGAGCAGAAGAGGUUAGGGACUCAGCCCGUGUGUCUCUGGGUGCUGCUGCUGCCUGUCUGAAAGUUCAGCUUCAAGGAAGGACAAGAGGCCUGGCACCAGAGCAGCAAGGCACGGAAGCAGUGCGGGAGCUGAAGCGCUUCUCCACAGAGAGAGGACAGAGCAGGCAGAAGAGACCAUGCUGUUCAACCUCAUGGUGCAAUAGGGUAAUGUCCUUAAGCAGGGAGUCCUGCUCACUAGUGUCCACUUGAGGAAAACUCCUUCCUGUGUGCGCCCCAGCGCAAUACCAUCCAACACAAUGGACUCUCUAAGGAGCCCUUAAGUGUCCACUUCACACAUGCAGCAGGGUGGGAAGCAGUGACUAAGGAAUGGGGUUGUGUAUGACCAAAGUAUAUUUUCACGUGGGUGUGGAGUUGUCAAAUAAUUAAAGUACUUUCAAAAAAGUAA
Long non-coding RNA from Mus musculus (house mouse), 1344 nucleotides. RefSeq annotates it as predicted gene, 38967. The record is from RefSeq and is a predicted model, not a curated record. The transcript is spliced from 2 exons. NCBI's taxonomy places the organism in Eukaryota, Metazoa, Chordata, Mammalia, Rodentia, Muridae.